This 67-nucleotide unclassified non-coding RNA is filed under the name Oxalis sonderiana. Its description in RNAcentral is "partial 26S ribosomal RNA". It matches the Rfam family "Eukaryotic large subunit ribosomal RNA", at positions 1 to 61 of the family's 3401-position model. Lineage: Eukaryota; Viridiplantae; Streptophyta; Magnoliopsida; Oxalidales; Oxalidaceae. The record is from RNAcentral.
GCCAUGCGACCCCAGGUNAGGCGGGACUACCCGCUGAGUUUAAGCAUAUCAAUAAGCGGAGGAAAAG